Molecule: long non-coding RNA, 449 nt
Organism: Motacilla alba alba
Lineage: Eukaryota; Metazoa; Chordata; Aves; Passeriformes; Motacillidae
Exons: 3
Source: RefSeq, a predicted model, not a curated record
CUUUGGCAACAGCCAUGGAGUUGCGGCAUACCCUGCAACGACGGUGUGGCCUCCGAGCGCAGCAAAAGCAUGUGGCCUGAGGAGCUGGGCAUUCUCUGGAGAACGCCGUCUAAGAGACAACGGCCCAGUGACAGCAGGAACUUCCCAGCUAGGGAGGCUGCCUUCCUUCACACCAGACAUGGAUUGGCAUCCCCAGAUGUCUGAGAUAAGUAGAGGGCUGUGACCCAGAGAGGGGAUGAAAGUGGGGUGCUGGUUCGGGACUCACCGGGAGGAGUUUUUGAGUCCGCUUUGGAGACGGGGAUGUGGAAGAAGCGGCCCCUUAGGCCACUGAAUGGGAAAGUGUCACUUUUGAUCACAGUGCUGAGGUGCGCAGGGCAGAGCAGUCCCGGUGUGUCUCGUGUCACUUGUCUGUUGUGCAUUCUGUGUGUUUGGGUAUCUCAUGCCUUUUU